Molecule: transfer RNA, 66 nt
Filed under: Parankylopteryx sp. YJ-2017
Lineage: Eukaryota; Metazoa; Arthropoda; Insecta; Neuroptera; Chrysopidae
Description: tRNA-Cys
Source: RNAcentral
AGCUUUAUAUUCAUUAAUUAAUGAUUUUAAAUUGCAAAUUUAAAGGUGAAUUUCUUUCUAAAGCUU